Molecule: long non-coding RNA, 3783 nt
Organism: Sapajus apella (tufted capuchin)
Lineage: Eukaryota; Metazoa; Chordata; Mammalia; Primates; Cebidae
Exons: 2
Source: RefSeq, a predicted model, not a curated record
UUGUUUUUCUUCUACAUUAUUUAAAUUCUACUGAGGAAGAGCCAUUUCUUUCCCUAUUUGCUUAUUUUAUUAUUUAUCACAAUUUGGAACCAUAGAUUUUUAUUUUAUUCUGUGUGUUCAGUGCUACCAUUAUUUACUUUGUGACUCAAUUUGCUCUAACUUUAGCUAGUCAAGUGGGCCCUUUGUGCUUAAACAGCCUUAAUUUGUGUGUGUGUGUGUGUGUGUGUGUGUGUGUGUGUGUGUGUGUGUUUCUUUUAUUUUCUGGAACUGCAAGAUGUUCUUUACUUUCUACUUCUGUGAUCUCUAAAGGUUUCCAGAAUAGGACCGAUCCCAUGAGGGCACUCUUAGCUUUGAAGUGGUUGGCAUGCAGGACAAGUCCCUCAUAGCUGGAGAGCUUCCAGAAUUUAAAGUACAGGGAGCCACCGCUAAGAAGGAUUGGAGGGUAAGGGAACUUCCAGGGAAGAGGGAAAUUUGAUAGAUGGCUAUAUGUCUAGAUCACAUCAUUUAGCAGCAUGGGAGGAGUCUGACUCAGACAACUCCAAAGGGCAGCUGCAGUUUUGGGUCUUUAGGGCCCAGAGCUUAUCUUACCUAUUGCUAGCAGAUGUUUGGUGCAGUUUUACUGAGUGCAUAAUACAGUCAGGCUCUAAGUGGCUAAAAAAUGCUGAUCUGGACUGAUUUAACAAUUGGAUGUGUAAAGAUUUGAGUUUGGAGCUAUCAGACUUUUGAGCUAAUGGUCUCUGCCUCUAGUGAAGGAAUAAUCUAGGGCCCAAUAUACAGAGGCCAUUGUUGACUCAAUUAUAUAACAUUUAUAAAGUAGCACUAUGAUUUUUCAUGCUACAUCAACUCUCAAUUUCAUGAAUGUAAUGAAUAAUUAUUAAAGGUGAGCUGCACAGCUGAGCAGCCUGUCAAUCUUGAUUUACACAGUAAGAAUGAUAUGUUAUUAGCAUAGGGAUAUUUCAGUAGUAAGAUCUUAAAACCUGCCUUGCAAUUCUAUUUCUCCCAUUAUGUGGGCAUCCAAUGAGAAGCUGAAGAUGACAUGCAAAUCCUGAUAAUAUACUCACUCCAUAUCCAAGGGGAUUUGGGGAGAAUCUGAGGUGGCACCUGUGGUGGAGUGGACAAUGUUGGACUUGGUGUUCAAAGUCAUCAUCAGAUCCUGAUACUGUUAUAUGCUUGUCCCAUGACCCAUAGGCAGAGAAUUUAAUUUUGUAAAGCCAAUUUUCUCUGCAAAAUGGUAAUAGAACUGUCUAAUUCACCUGGUUGUUGUUGGUGCUGGAACAACACCAGCAACGUUACAUCCUGAGUCCCAGAAUAUAAAUGCUACCCAGAAUGAACUUUUACAGAUUGUUUGUAGUCCAUGUGAUGACGUAAUAUAUCUCUCCCUACCUGAUGUGAUUGGAAUGGUGUGGAGACAACCACUCCACAAUGUUGACUCAAAGGUCCACAUAAUGCUCCAUAUAAUGCUCCAUGAAGAUAAGGACCACAUGUAUUUUCUCUACUUCUGAAUAUCCAAGAUUUUACAGGGUACCUGACAUAUAGUAGGUACUAUAUAAAGACACUAUUUGGACCACUUCUUUAAGAAAACCUCAAUUGAAUGCGUUUACGGAAGAUAAGCUCUAGACAUCUGUGUACAGCAUAGUACCUAGAGUCAACAAUGCAUGUUGUGCACUUGAAAAUUUGUUAAGAGGGUAGAUCUCAUGUUAAGUGUCCUUAUCAAAUAAUCCCUGAUAAAUGCAAAUAUCUCUUAAAUCAUUAAUGCCUUGGUUUAUAGUAAUCAAUCAAAUGAACUUCAGUCACUUAGCAGUAUCCUUAGGGAAUGGGGCAUAAUUUUGAGGAAAGGAGGUUUAGAGCAUGAGAUGUUGUUGAGUAAGGAAAGCAUGGCUAAGGUGCUGGGGCAGGUGGUCGCUAAACAGCCAGUAGGGAGUCAGAAGAAGUUAAACAUGUUGAAAGGGAAACACUCAAACCUAAGAGAGAGCUUAUGAAUAUGGUCAUUUAAAACAAACAUGGACAACUUCCUAAGGAUGAGCUAUGUGCCUAUACAACUCUCAUGUGAAUGAAUCUCUAUCUUGCUGGGCAUAAGAUAUGAUGGAAUUACUUGUAUCUUGGACACGGUUCAUGUUACAUAGAGGUGCCACAGAAAGGGGUAGACACACAUUUUUGCGGACCCCACAACCCAGUUAUCUGUGAAGGCUACACAGUCUUCGGACAGCUGCUGUGCACAGACAACAGCACAGGAAAAGGGAGACAGGGGAGAGGGGGUGGAGGAAGGUAAGUGACAGACACAUGGAUGCAGGGAAGAAGAUGAGAAGCAGUGAAAAGACGAUCAAGAGAAAAAUGAGACACCAGCAGUGCUGAGAGUUGACGUCAUUUGUUUCCAGAGCUCCCAAUCAACUCAAAAACGUAGCAUAGGCCAAAGUCCUCAUGUAACUUUUUUUCCCUAUCUUUCCCACUCACAAAUCUCAACAUUUCCCUUUGAAAGGUACUCAUCUACUUCUCAAAUAUUAUACCUACAGAUAGAAGUCUUUAGAAUCUGAAUAUUAUUUUGUGUCUCAGCCACCAAAAAAAAAAAAAAAAAAUUAUGGAGAGCAAUUGGGCAAAUUGAGGGUAUGAAUGCCAGAAGAAACAAUGUAUUUUGACAAGAAAAAUCGGUUGGCAAAUGUUAAGGUUUUUAUGAGUAAUCAUGAUGAUCCUUUAAGUAAUUAUAAUUUGUUCCAUACUCUGUCACAGUCGUUUUGAUUGUGGCUUUUUAUUAGUGAAUAAAGUUAUUUAGUCGUCCUUAUUUUUAGGAAGAGAUUCACAGUAUUGAAAUAUUUCAAAUACCAAUAAUGUUAAAUUUCUUGAGUAUUUUCCCUUUCUGCUGAUGAGUCAUUGGACUAUCAUUCUGUCCCGAGAACAUUAUAAUGACACCAGUCUUAGUCACAAAAUCAUUACUGUCAUAAAGUAAGGAGGCAGGAUAUGGGAAGAAAUCUACACAAUGAGACAAACCUGGCUUAAUCUUAACAGUUGCAAUUAUUACCCACAUUUUUAAAGCAAGUUUAUUUUGAAGUAAAUUUUCAAACUUCCCAAUGCUUUGUUGCCCUGUCAUUAGGCUGUCUCCAGAUGAAGAAAGUCUUUGGGCUGCAGGGAUAAGUAGUUUGGAUGCUGUGGCUUCAUAAGUAAAUUUUCUUUUUAUAAGCAUGGCGAAUAAGGAUCAGGAGUAUUAUUCUACAGGGAGGCUGAGUGCAGCCAUUGAUAUAAGGCCAGAUGUGGUCUGUUCUACCACAGAAACUUAAGGAUAGAGCACCUUUUCAGGCUGUGUGGUUCAAUCCCUAGUUAAAGUAUAAAACUCAUAGUAAUAAUGCUCUUACAACCUUUCACAUGGUGGAGACAGACACUGAAUAUUGGUUGAUUAGUAAGGCAUUUGUAUUGGUAAAGCAUUGCAGACUGUUGAAAAGUCUAAAUAAAAAAUCUGUUCUCAGAUGUGAUAAAUAAAUCAAAUAGUUCAUGUGUAUGAAGUUAUGUAAGAAAUACGAUAAAUCAUUAAAUAGUUCUUGUGUAAGAAUUAAAGCAGGUUGCUUUCCUAGUAAGGUUACAACACAUCAAAAUAUAAUAUUGUGACUUUCACUUUUCAGUGUGACAAAGUACAAGUAGAUCAGCACAUAGAACUGUUUUUUUUGUUUUGUUUUGUUUUGUUUUCCACUAUUUCACACAACUGGGGUGUCCAAAGAUUUGAUAAUGGGUAAGAAAGAUGACCUGAAUGGUGAAUUCUGUAAACUUGUCUCCUUUAUUAAUAAACACAUUCAAACU